UGGAAACGCAGAGCCUUGACAAAUGAAGCA
Molecule: non-coding RNA, 30 nt
Filed under: Rattus norvegicus (Norway rat)
Lineage: Eukaryota; Metazoa; Chordata; Mammalia; Rodentia; Muridae
Source: RNAcentral